RNAcentral lists this ribosomal RNA (974 nucleotides) under Staphylococcus aureus. Its description in RNAcentral is "bacterial SSU rRNA". It matches the Rfam family "Bacterial small subunit ribosomal RNA", at positions 98 to 1056 of the family's 1533-position model. Lineage: Bacteria; Bacillati; Bacillota; Bacilli; Caryophanales; Staphylococcaceae. The record is from RNAcentral.
GCGGACGGGUGAGUAACACGUGGAUAACCUACCUAUAAGACUGGGAUAACUUCGGGAAACCGGAGCUAAUACCGGAUAAUAUUUUGAACCGCAUGGUUCAAAAGUGAAAGACGGUCUUGCUGUCACUUAUAGAUGGAUCCGCGCUGCAUUAGCUAGUUGGUAAGGUAACGGCUUACCAAGGCAACGAUGCAUAGCCGACCUGAGAGGGUGAUCGGCCACACUGGAACUGAGACACGGUCCAGACUCCUACGGGAGGCAGCAGUAGGGAAUCUUCCGCAAUGGGCGAAAGCCUGACGGAGCAACGCCGCGUGAGUGAUGAAGGUCUUCGGAUCGUAAAACUCUGUUAUUAGGGAAGAACAUAUGUGUAAGUAACUGUGCACAUCUUGACGGUACCUAAUCAGAAAGCCACGGCUAACUACGUGCCAGCAGCCGCGGUAAUACGUAGGUGGCAAGCGUUAUCCGGAAUUAUUGGGCGUAAAGCGCGCGUAGGCGGUUUUUUAAGUCUGAUGUGAAAGCCCACGGCUCAACCGUGGAGGGUCAUUGGAAACUGGAAAACUUGAGUGCAGAAGAGGAAAGUGGAAUUCCAUGUGUAGCGGUGAAAUGCGCAGAGAUAUGGAGGAACACCAGUGGCGAAGGCGACUUUCUGGUCUGUAACUGACGCUGAUGUGCGAAAGCGUGGGGAUCAAACAGGAUUAGAUACCCUGGUAGUCCACGCCGUAAACGAUGAGUGCUAAGUGUUAGGGGGUUUCCGCCCCUUAGUGCUGCAGCUAACGCAUUAAGCACUCCGCCUGGGGAGUACGACCGCAAGGUUGAAACUCAAAGGAAUUGACGGGGACCCGCACAAGCGGUGGAGCAUGUGGUUUAAUUCGAAGCAACGCGAAGAACCUUACCAAAUCUUGACAUCCUUUGACAACUCUAGAGAUAGAGCUUUCCCCUUCGGGGGACAAAGUGACAGGUGGUGCAUGGUUGUCGUC